This 395-nucleotide ribosomal RNA is filed under the name Ophryotrocha sp. Qingdao. Its description in RNAcentral is "partial 16S ribosomal RNA". It matches the Rfam family "Bacterial large subunit ribosomal RNA", at positions 1858 to 2579 of the family's 2925-position model. Lineage: Eukaryota; Metazoa; Annelida; Polychaeta; Eunicida; Dorvilleidae. The record is from RNAcentral.
UCUGCCCGGUGAAUAUUUUAAACGGCCGCGAUUUGCGCUAAGGUAGCAUAAUCAUUUGUCCUUUAAUUGGGGGCUAGAAUGAAAGAGUUUUUAAAUGAUGGCUUUAUUACUGUCAGCAUUGGAAUUUAAUUAGAAUGUGAAAAUGCAUUCGUACAAUAGAGGGACCAAAAGACCCCGGGAUCUUUAAUUUUGGAGAGAUUUCUCGUUAUAAAUUUUUAUUGGGGUAAUAGAAAGUAUGUACUUUUAAAUAAUCAGGCUUUGCCUUAGCGAUGAGURAAAAGUUACCCCGGGGAUAACAGGCCCAUCUUUUUUUAGAGUUCAUAUUCACAAAAAGGAUUGGCACCUCGAUGUUGGCUUAAGGAAAUCCCAGGUGCAGCAGCUUUGGGGAUAGGCUU